GCCCAUGUGGUGGGACACGCCAAAAUGCAAAUUUGGAGACGCACCCUAACAGGUGCCGGGGCUUCUCCCGUCGUCUAGUGAAACGGGAGAAGC
RNAcentral lists this transfer RNA (93 nucleotides) under Cyrtodactylus philippinicus. RNAcentral describes it as "tRNA-Cys". Lineage: Eukaryota; Metazoa; Chordata; Lepidosauria; Squamata; Gekkonidae. The record is from RNAcentral.